RNAcentral lists this unclassified non-coding RNA (352 nucleotides) under uncultured Sebacinales. RNAcentral's name for it is "sequence contains ITS1". The stretch from base 1 to 105 matches the Rfam family "5.8S ribosomal RNA", at positions 50 to 154 of the family's 154-position model. Lineage: Eukaryota; Fungi; Basidiomycota; Agaricomycetes; Sebacinales. The record is from RNAcentral.
GAAAUGCGAUAAGUAAUGUGAAUUGCAGAAUUCAGUGAAUCAUCGAAUCUUUGAACGCACCUUGCACCCUUUGGUAUUCCGAAGGGUACACCCGUUUGAGUGUCAUUGUAAUCUCACUCUGACAGCUUUUGUUGUUGGAUGUGGACUUGGACCCUGUCGUGCAGUUAUGACUGGUCUCAAAUGCAUGAGUGCACCCUGCUUUGCAGCGUUGUCAGUGUGAUACGCAUCUUCACUGAUACAAGCUCCUUCUGGGACACGUCUGUGUUGAUAGGCUCUGUGCUUCCGAACCGUCUUCAGAGACCACCUUUAACAAUUUGACCUCAAAUCGGGUGGGACUACCCGCUGAACUUAA